AGCCCGGUGGUGCAGCCUGGUAAGCAUGGAGGCCUUUGGAGCCUCCGACGGGAGUUCGAAUCUCCCCCGGGCUA
Molecule: transfer RNA, 74 nt
Filed under: Candidatus Bathyarchaeota archaeon
Lineage: Archaea; Thermoproteati; Candidatus Bathyarchaeota
Also listed under: 2 other names
Description: tRNA-Gln
Rfam family: tRNA
About the family: Transfer RNA (tRNA) molecules are approximately 80 nucleotides in length. Their secondary structure includes four short double-helical elements and three loops (D, anti-codon, and T loops).
Source: RNAcentral